AGGAUAAACGCUGGCGGCGUGCAUGAGACAUGCAAGUCGAACGGACGAUCAGGGCUUGCUCUGAUCGUUAGUGGCGGACGGCUGAGUAACGCGUAGGUGACCUGCCCCGAAGUGGGGAAUAACUGCCCGAAAGGGUGGCUAAUACCGCAUGUGGUGGUGUGUUCAUUCACACCAGUAAAGCCGCAAGGCGCUUCGGGAGGGGCCUGCGUCCGAUUAGCUCGUUGGUGGGUAACGGCUCACCAAGGCGACGAUCGGUAGGUGGUCUGAGAGGACGAUCACCCAGACUGGGACUGAGACACGGCCCAGACUCCUACGGGAGGCAGCAGUCGGGAAUUUUUGCGCAAUGGACGAAAGUCUGACGCAGCAACGCCGCGUGAGGGAUGAAGGCCUUCGGGUUGUAACCUCUUUUAUCAGGGAAGAUAAUGACGGUACCUGAUGAAUAAGUCACGGCUAACUACGUGCCAGCAGCCGC
This 472-nucleotide ribosomal RNA is filed under the name uncultured bacterium. Its description in RNAcentral is "SSU rRNA". It matches the Rfam family "Bacterial small subunit ribosomal RNA", at positions 26 to 518 of the family's 1533-position model. The record is from RNAcentral.